AUGGGAACGCGAAGAACCUUACCUAGACUUGACAUCUUCUGCAUUAAUCGUAAUGGAUGAAAUCCCUUCGGGGACAGAAUGACAGGUGGUGCAUGGUUGUCGUCAGCUCGUGUCGUGAGAUGUUGGGUUAAGUCCCGCAACGAGCGCAACCCCUACUUAUUAGUUGUCUAACAUUAAGUUGUAGCACUCUAGUGAGACUGCCCGGGUUAACCGGGUAGGAAGGUGGGGAGUGACGUCAAAUACAUCAUGCCCCUUACUGUCUAGGGCGAACACACGUGCUACAAUGGUGAGUACAGAUAGAUGCGAUACCGCAAGGUGGAGCCAAACUCUAAAACUCAUCCCAGUUCGGAUUGUAGGCUGCAACUCGCCUACAUGAAGUUGGAGUUGCUAGUAAUCGCGAAUCAGAAUGUCGCGGUGAAUACGUUCCCGGGUCUUGUACACACCG
Molecule: ribosomal RNA, 445 nt
Filed under: uncultured bacterium
Lineage: Bacteria
Description: bacterial SSU rRNA
Rfam family: Bacterial small subunit ribosomal RNA
Source: RNAcentral